GAAGAGUCGUUAAGAAGGUCAAGCAGACACGAAGUUUUGAUGUCCGAGAAGGUGCAAACCUGCACGUAGCAUGGCAGCAAUCUUGUUGUUUCUUACUGAUAACAAGAGAAAGUCCACUCUGUCGAAGAAAAUAACAACUUUAUCUCAAUUUCGUGUCAAUAUGGAGUUCGGAAGAACAAAGCUAAACCAACAGGGGACAUUCCAAAAUUCCCGAUUGAAUACGCCCGCUAUUGAUAAGAGAUCUCUCGUCCACAUUAUUGAUAGCAAAAAACGGCAAUAAAAGGUCGAGAAAUUUUAGAAGAGUCAGUCAGUUAGAAAGGUCAGUCAGAAGGGUCAGGUCGUUUG
Molecule: long non-coding RNA, 345 nt
Filed under: Androctonus crassicauda
Lineage: Eukaryota; Metazoa; Arthropoda; Arachnida; Scorpiones; Buthidae
Source: RNAcentral